This 76-nucleotide ribosomal RNA is filed under the name Streptococcus pneumoniae. RNAcentral's name for it is "partial 16S ribosomal RNA". Lineage: Bacteria; Bacillati; Bacillota; Bacilli; Lactobacillales; Streptococcaceae. The record is from RNAcentral.
UUGUAAGAGAAGAACGAGUGUGAGAGUGGAAAGUUCACACUGUGACGGUAUCUUACCAGAAAGGGACGGCUAAGUA